UACAGAGGUCUCAAGCGUUGUUCGGAUUCAUUGGGCGUAAAGGGUGCGUAGGCGGCGCGGUAAGUCGGGUGUGAAAUCUCGGGGCUUAACUCCGAAACUGCAUUCGAUACUGCCGUGCUUGAGGACUGGAGAGGAGACUGGAAUUUACGGUGUAGCGGUGAAAUGCGCAGAUAUCGGGAAGAACACCCGUGGCGAAGGCGGUUCUCUGGGACGGUACUGACGCUGAGACGCGAAAGCGUGGGGAGCGAACAGG
Molecule: ribosomal RNA, 253 nt
Filed under: uncultured bacterium
Lineage: Bacteria
Description: partial 16S ribosomal RNA
Rfam family: Bacterial small subunit ribosomal RNA
Source: RNAcentral